AGUGAACGCUGGCGGUAGGCCUAACACAUGCAAGUCGAACGGCAGCACAGUAAGAGCUUGCUCUUACGGGUGGCGAGUGGCGGACGGGUGAGGAAUACAUCGGAAUCUACUUUUUCGUGGGGGAUAACGUAGGGAAACUUACGCUAAUACCGCAUACGACCUACGGGUGAAAGCAGGGGAUCUUCGGACCUUGCGCGAUUGAAUGAGCCGAUGUCGGAUUAGCUAGUUGGCGGGGUAAAGGCCCACCAAGGCGACGAUCCGUAGCUGGUCUGAGAGGAUGAUCGGCACCACUGAACUGAGACACGGUCCAGACUCCUACGGGAGGCAGCAGUGGGGAAUAUUGGACAAUGGGCGCAAGCCUGAUCCAGCCAUACCGCGUGGGUGAAGAAGGCCUUCGGGUUGUAAAGCCCUUUUGUUGGGAAAGAAAAGCAGCAGGUUAAUACCCCGCUGUUCUGACGGUACCCAAAGAAUAAGCACCGGCUAACUUCGUG
This 491-nucleotide ribosomal RNA is filed under the name uncultured bacterium. RNAcentral describes it as "partial 16S ribosomal RNA". It matches the Rfam family "Bacterial small subunit ribosomal RNA", at positions 29 to 507 of the family's 1533-position model. The record is from RNAcentral.